Molecule: transfer RNA, 71 nt
Filed under: Capra hircus (goat)
Lineage: Eukaryota; Metazoa; Chordata; Mammalia; Artiodactyla; Bovidae
Also listed under: 1 other name
Rfam family: tRNA
About the family: Transfer RNA (tRNA) molecules are approximately 80 nucleotides in length.
Source: Rfam by way of RNAcentral
UCCCUGGUGGCUCAGUGGUAAAGAAUCUGCCUGCAAUGUAGGAGACCCAGGUUCGAUCCCUGGGUUGGGAA